Molecule: small nucleolar RNA, 79 nt
Filed under: Pogona vitticeps (central bearded dragon)
Lineage: Eukaryota; Metazoa; Chordata; Lepidosauria; Squamata; Agamidae
Description: Small nucleolar RNA SNORD83 (ENSPVIG00000005246.1)
Rfam family: Small nucleolar RNA SNORD83
About the family: U83 (SNORD83) and U84 (SNORD84) are members of the C/D class of snoRNA which contain the C (UGAUGA) and D (CUGA) box motifs. They act as guanine methylation guides but lack complementarity to ribosomal RNA. U83 and U84 are spliced from introns 5 and 4 of the BAT1 gene in mammals.
Source: Rfam by way of RNAcentral
GCCACAUGAUGUCAAAAACAGACUCCAUGAGCCCUCUGUGGCAAAGAUGACACAGAUCUAUCACCCAAGACUGAUGGCU